RNAcentral lists this ribosomal RNA (253 nucleotides) under uncultured bacterium. RNAcentral's name for it is "partial 16S ribosomal RNA". It matches the Rfam family "Bacterial small subunit ribosomal RNA", at positions 524 to 776 of the family's 1533-position model. The record is from RNAcentral.
UACGUAGGGGGCUAGCGUUGUCCGGAAUCAUUGGGCGUAAAGAGCGUGUAGGCGGCCCGGUAAGUCCGCUGUAAAAGUCAAAGGCUCAACCUUUGAAUGUCAGUGGAUACUGCCGGGCUAGAGUCCGGAAGAGGCGAGUGGAACUCCUGGUGUAGCGGUGGAAUGCGCAGAUAUCAGGAGGAACACCAAUAGCGAAGGCAGCUCGCUGGGACGUUACUGACACUGAGGCGCGAAAGCGUGGGGAGCGAACAGG